UGAAGCAAGGUUGACAAGUCUUGAAGGUC
Molecule: non-coding RNA, 29 nt
Filed under: Mus musculus (house mouse)
Lineage: Eukaryota; Metazoa; Chordata; Mammalia; Rodentia; Muridae
Source: RNAcentral